RNAcentral lists this ribosomal RNA (301 nucleotides) under uncultured bacterium. RNAcentral describes it as "partial 16S ribosomal RNA". It matches the Rfam family "Bacterial small subunit ribosomal RNA", at positions 509 to 809 of the family's 1533-position model. The record is from RNAcentral.
CAGCCGCCGCGGUAAUACGUAGGUGGCAAGCGUUGUCCGGAAUUAUUGGGCGUAAAGGGCUCGCAGGCGGUUUCCUAAGUCUGAUGUGAAAGCCCCCGGCUCAACCGGGGAGGGUCAUUGGAAACUGGGAAACUUGAGUGCAGAAGAGGAGAGUGGAAUUCCACGUGUAGCGGUGAAAUGCGUAGAGAUGUGGAGGAACACCAGUGGCGAAGGCGACUCUCUGGUCUGUAACUGACGCUGAGGAGCGAAAGCGUGGGGAGCGAACAGGAUUAGAUACCCCUGUAGUCCCUGUCUCUUAUAA